Long non-coding RNA from Engraulis encrasicolus (European anchovy), 1210 nucleotides. RefSeq lists it as uncharacterized. The transcript has 4 exons. NCBI's taxonomy places the organism in Eukaryota, Metazoa, Chordata, Actinopteri, Clupeiformes, Engraulidae. The record is from RefSeq and is a predicted model, not a curated record.
GGCGGGUCUUUGAAUUAACCUAUAUAAAGUAAAUAGAUGCAAAACAAUUCAUUAACAUUCCUUGAGUAAACAUGAUUUCAUCAAAUAAGGAUAAUGUGUUCUUGGAGACUGCUGAAUUUGCAUGUUUCUAAUGCUUUGAAUGAACAUGAUUAAGUUGUGUCUGGGGUGGCCUCCAGUCCUGAGGUGGCGCUAGUGCACCACUUUCUAAGACAAGAAGAAGCCGGAAAGUUUCUAAGCCAGAGAGCCGUUCGCCUCAGUCAGCUCGGUCCUACUCUUCAGUCUCAUCUCGCUGGAAUAGUGUUGUCAUGUGUGAAGAUCUACACGAAAUUGAGACUUCUGGCACAGUGGCCUGCACUGUUCGAAGUCUGUAAGAUCAGUGCUGAAUUCAAAAUAAUCACCACAGUUCCCCUGCAAUCCAAGCAACUGUUGCUGAAUUGGCUGAUUUGUACAAGAUGCACCAUUUCUGAGGACUUCUGGCACAGUGGCCUGCACUGUUCAAAGUUCGCAAGGUAAGACAUUCAAUUCGGAUUGUCUUUAAUGUUUUUAUUUGUGAAUUACAGCGUUUUAUCUCCUUUCUUGAAUGUGUGUGUGGCUUUCUCCUAAUGUUAAUGAUUUGAUCGUUAAAUCCUUUGGGCUCUUUAUGUCUUUUCAGAUCAGUGCUGAAUUGAAAAGAAUCACCAGUCCCACUGCAAUGGCCAGCACUGUUCGAAGUCCACAAGGUAAAGCAUUCACUUUGGCCACAACCCUACCCAGUGCACCUUAACAACUUGACUCCUGCUUUAAAUUAGCUGUUAUCUGAAUGGGGGUGACUAAAUAUUCCAGUGGUAUAAGGAGCUGCUUCUCAAAUUUUUAUAUUUAAAUUUUGUCGUACUCUGACCAGUGAAUAUUAGAUUAUUGCUUAGUACUAGAAUUGGAGUUAUCUGAGACAAGAUGAUCUGAUCUGAGAAGUGUUGAUGACUACCUCCCUGGUGUUCCCACUCUCAGUGUGGAGUGUGACACUAUUUGUAUGCAUUGUGCUAUGCUCAACAUGACAUUGAGAGGCUUCAGUUGAAAGUGAGCAAGCUAUCUCACGGUUUCCUUAUUUCAAUACACUUGCUACACAAUUCAUAUGCAGCUAAACAAAAAGAAAUAUUAAUAUCUUCUAUGUAGAAACAAAAUGAGCACUACAAUGAAGGGUAUAAUAUCUGAGAGCACUUUGUUGACACAUGUU